Molecule: unclassified non-coding RNA, 215 nt
Filed under: Pseudomonas kuykendallii
Lineage: Bacteria; Pseudomonadati; Pseudomonadota; Gammaproteobacteria; Pseudomonadales; Pseudomonadaceae
Description: Pseudomonas sRNA P29
Source: RNAcentral
AAGCUACUGGGGGAGCCGAAGCUCCCCCUAAGUAAUGCUUUCUUUGUUUUUAUUAUUAUGUCGGCUUGUUAUUUUUGUUGUCCGACCCGUUCCUCGAGGCCAGGGGCCUGAGGACGGACUCCCACUCUGGGAGCUAAUAGCAAACGGAUUACUUUGGACGCUGACGCUGCCAUGACCUUGCGAUCCAACCAGUCCGACGCUGCCUCUAGGCAGUU